CGUAUCAUUACUGUCUAUUGAGAAAAUCAUAACUAGCUGACUGUUGAGAAAAUCAUAAGAUGAAGUAGAGAGGUUAUUUUCGAUAGACCUCGGCUCAGGACAGAUAACAAUAUAAUAAACAAAACACAUAAAAACAAGCAAAAAUAAGGGAUAUCAUGCCGCUGGAUAGUAAAGGAUAAUAACAGAAACAAGACAACAAGGUAAUACUAUAAAAUAUCUAUUCAAAAAACAUAAAUAUCACCAAUACACCACAGAUGUACUCCUACACAUUAACCCUCUACCCUCUAUCAAGUUGAUAUUUCUUUAUGUUGCGCUGCCUGAAUAUGACAGGUCUUUCUGAAGGAGUUUUGUUAUAUCCUUUUUACAAGCACCUUGUAACAUCCUUAUAUGAGGUUAUUUCUUCUGAAGCCUGCCAAGGACAGAAAACAAACAAGCAGUAAUGCAAGAAACUAGUUGUUUGAAGCAAAAGGAAGAAGAGUGGGCUAGUCUAAUUAAGGAAAAAGAUUCUCAUUUGCUCAAUGACAUAUAUUUCCUUUGCAUAUGGUGUGCUUGAUUCAAAAAAUGAUGUAUUAUGGACUUGGUUCUUUGAGAAUCUGAAAGAGGCAUACAGUGAAAAAAAAGCACAUGUGUGUUGUUUCUGAUUGUAAUGGAAGUAUCAUAAAAGUUGUUGGUGAUGUGUACAAAGAUGUACAAAAUUAUGCAUCUAUGUGACAUUUAUGAAAAAACGUGAAAAAAAUUAUAGAAAGUCACAUGAUGCAUUAUCGGAGAUGUAUUUGAUGUCAUAUGUUUCAUGUAUUUGAAUUUGUUUACUCAUGAAAUUGUUGCAUUUAUUUACUGAA
Long non-coding RNA from Capsicum annuum, 839 nucleotides. RefSeq lists it as uncharacterized. NCBI's taxonomy places the organism in Eukaryota, Viridiplantae, Streptophyta, Magnoliopsida, Solanales, Solanaceae. The record is from RefSeq and is a predicted model, not a curated record. The transcript is spliced from 2 exons.